AUUUAUCUUUAAUUGAAUAAGAAAAAUCAACUUCCCAUGUUACUUUAAAAUAUCAACUCACCGCAAAUAAAGAAUAGACCAGAGAUUAUCCAAUCCAAUCCAACUUUCUUUUUUAAAAAAAAUGAACUUUUAUGGUGCAAUCUAUCAGUAGAUCAUUAAAAAGAGACAAUAAUGUAAUAAAUAACAAAUGGUUUAUGUAACGCAGUGGUUGGAAAAGAAGACAUUGAAUUGAUCCAUUUUGUCUUCAUCUAUUAAAUUGCUCAUCCCUCAACAAUACUAGCAUCAUUAAAUGUACAAACUAUUUCCUCUGUCUCCCGUUGACCACUGUAAACUACAUAUUCACGAACACCCACAAACACGAUAAGAUUCAUGCUCCCUCUCUCAUACAUGGUGACAGGUCCCGCACGAGACCCCUCGCUACAGAAGAGAUAAUAUAAAUUUUCAUCCCAUGCAAUAAUUUCAAAACAAGGACUGAAUGUACGCAUAUGCACCUCAGUUAGAACCUAGGAUUAAGAUGCGUACAUAUAAUGUUCCCUACUGUAAAUAGGUUUCAAGAUAAAAAUGGAUCUUACAUAUUCUUAAGUUUCAUUCCACAUGAUGAUCACUUCAAGAUCAAAUGCAUAGGACUCUAAAUUGUCACCUCAAUAUACAGGCUCACUCUAUUUCCAAACAAGACAGUUCCUUCGAUAAAAACGAGGAUACCCUCUUUUGGCUCUUGCGACGAGAAAAAGAGGAGCGUAACCAUCAGAGUUCAGACAAUAUACGAUGUUGCUGUAGCAUACUGCUGCUACACUGGCAGUGCUCUAUAUCAAUUCAACGGUGUCUACAAUGUCAACACCACAACACAAAAUGAAAAUCUAACAAUCAAGAAACAUGAAAAGUAUUUUAUAUGCUAAUCACCAAUGUAUCAGCUCCACAAUGCAUAUACGAGGAAUACUAAAAAUUAUUGUUUAACAGAGUGCACUCCGAUCAGAUAGAAUAUAACAAAAGCCAAAUACUAGGGUUUCCCAUUGUUUUCACCUAUACAUUAAUUAUUCUUGGCCUCGUGUCCUCUCCCCCAGGUUUAUCAUAUUUUCUUCUGAUAUCUCCUCCCACCCAGUCUCAACCCCAUCCCUUUUCUCUUAUUCUCUCCUCUAAAUAACCAUAUAAAAAGCCAUCUCCAUCAGGCUAUUGCUAACUUCUUGAAGCAUGGAUCACAAGGGUUUGAAAGAAAAUGAGAUGAAGACAAGAAUCUUCCGCUGUGAAGACUACAAUAACAGAAGGGUGUUUCUGAGGAGUUAUCCCCUUCAAUGGGAAGAAGACAAUAGAGCCAAAGAAGAGAUGAGCAAGGUCCACAAGGAGAACUCCGAGAAGAAACUAAUCAAGAAGAUAAUCCUACCAAUACUUCACUGGGGUGAAGGGAAGGUUGUGGUCUUGAGGAGAUUUAAGGAUAAGAUCGCAGUCUAUGUCAUAGCUUGUGUCCCUGCUGCCUUUAAGCCACAUACAGCCCUAAUUUCAGCUUGAGCUUUGGCUUUUUCUUCUCAUCUUCUCCAGAGAGUAGCAGGUGUCUCUAUGGUUACUUUCACAGUUUCAUGCCACCUCUAUAUGAAUUGGAUAACAUAAAUCAAUACAUGCUCUAGGAUCUCUAUUGUCCAACUAAACAAGUGUGGAAAACAGAGUGCCUCUUUUUUCAGCUAUAGACUCUCUCACUCCAUCCUACAAUCUAUAUGAGAGGUUUUUAUGCAUCCAAAAUGCGCAAAUCAUGCCAAUGUCAUGCAAUAACAUGGUUUGCAAAAAUUUGACAUUUUCACUCCAAUGAAUCUCAGAAUUGCAAGUUUGUAACAUAAGCUAAGGUUGAUGCCAUGCCCAAAAGCAUUAGAAAAUACACAUUUUAGGUAACAUCAAACUCAGUCCUCCUAAAAUAUAUAACAAAUACAAUAAAAUAACACAUCAUACACCCAAUUUUCCAAG
This 1950-nucleotide unclassified non-coding RNA is filed under the name Hevea brasiliensis (rubber tree). The record is from RNAcentral. Lineage: Eukaryota; Viridiplantae; Streptophyta; Magnoliopsida; Malpighiales; Euphorbiaceae.